GCGCUGUGUGACAAAGAAUCUAUCUGGGAUUGGGAGGGGAAUCCUUCCUUACAGAAACAAUCCUAUAUAUAUAUAUUUAAAACAAUGUUGUCACUCCCCUCCCCCUCUAAAGAAAUUGUAUUUACUCCUUUUAUUUCGUACCAACCGGAGGAAAAGGGGGGGGGGGGGGGCACACAAUCGCUUCUUCUUAACGCCAAGGCGCUCCAGAGGCACGAUUUCCCCGGAAUGGCGCUGCUGGUACAACUUGAACUCCCAAAGCCAAGGCGAGGAGGCGCUUUCCUGCAUUCUCAACCCGGUGGGUCUUAUCUUUAUGGGGUUUGGGGGCAAAUACCCCCGGAUCGGGGCUUUCCUGCCACUCCUCCAUGGCCCAGACCUAGGACAGUCCCGUCCCAAAGGAGUUCGGCACGCCUUCGAACUUUCUUUGAAACCGGACCCCCUUUGAUAUCAGAUUCCAGCCUUUUGACUUUGGAAGAACCUUUUCAGGGUACACUGUAAUGACUUUAAAUCUUCAUAUCUUUUCAAACAAGACACAAUUAGCUGUUUAAUAAGAACAGGUUAAUUGAACUACAGACUUAAAAGAAAUGCAGACUUAUUUCAGCCAAAGCACUUUCCUCCUGAUAAAUUAUAAAAGAAGAGUCUGAUAUGCUGUGAUUUUAUUUUAUUAGCCACAACUCAUAAACAUGUAUGCUUCUGAUUUGCUGUCACAGUGUAUUGGUUAAGGGUAAGCAGACGUAUUGAUUAGUUUGAGUUUCUCCAUUUUCCAAUGCUAAAUAAAUUCUGAGCUCUUUCUGAAUCUUAUGUGGCUUGUAAUGGCUUUUAGGCAAAUAUAAUAAAAGGUUGACUAUUUCAAGA
Long non-coding RNA from Anolis carolinensis (green anole), 852 nucleotides. RefSeq lists it as uncharacterized. The record is from RefSeq and is a predicted model, not a curated record. The transcript has 2 exons. Lineage: Eukaryota; Metazoa; Chordata; Lepidosauria; Squamata; Anolidae.